AGAGUUUGAUUCUGGCUCAGAACGAACGCUGGCGGCAGGCUUAACACAUGCAAGUCGAACGAUAUAGUGGUACACGGGUGAGUAACGCGUGGAAACGUGCCUUUCACUACGGAAUAGCUUUUGGAAACGAAAGGUAAUACCGUAUACGCCCUCCGGGGGAAAGAUUUAUCGGUGAAAGAUCGGUCCGCGUUAGAUUAGCUAGUUGGUGAGGUAAGAGCUCACCAAGGCGACGAUCUAUAGCUGGUCUGAGAGGAUGAUCAGCCACACUGGGACUGAGGCACGGCCCAGACUCCUACGGGAGGCAGCAGUGGGGAAUAUUGCACAAUGGGCGCAAGCCUGAUGCAGCCAUGCCGCGUGAAUGAUGAAGGCCUUAGGGUUGUAAAAUUCUUUCGCCAAGGAUGAUAAUGACAGUACUUGGUAAAGAGGCCCCGGCUAACUUCGUGCCAGCAGCCGCGGUAAUACGAAGGGGGCUAGCGUUGUUCGGAAUUACUGGGCGUAAAGCGCACGUAGGCGGACUUUUAAGUCAGAUGUGAAAUCCCAAGGCUCAACCUUGGAACUGCAUUUGAAACUGGGAGUCUAGAGAUCAGGAGAGGUUAGUGGAAUACCGAGUGUAGAGGUGAAAUUCGUAGAUAUUCGGUGGAACACCAGUGGCGAAGGCGACUAACUGGACUGAUACUGACGCUGAGGUGCGAAAGUGUGGGGAGCAAACAGGAUUAGAUACCCUGGUAGUCCACACCGUAAACGAUGAGAGCUAGUUGUCUGCAGGCAUGCCUGUAGGUGACGCAGCUAACGCAUUAAGCUCUCCGCCUGGGGAGUACGGCCGCAAGGUUAAAACUCAAAGAAAUUGACGGGGGCCCGCACAAGCGGUGGAGCAUGUGGUUUAAUUCGAAGCAACGCGCAGAACCUUACCUACGCUUGACAUGCCUGGACGACUCCGAGAGAUCGGUUUCUCCCUUCGGGGCCAGUGCACAGGUGCUGCAUGGCUGUCGUCAGCUCGUGUCGUGAGAUGUUGGGUUAAGUCCCGCAACGAGCGCAACCCUCAUCCUUAGUUGCCAUCACGUUUGGGUGGGCACUCUAGGGAAACUGCCGGUGCUAAGCCGGAGGAAGGCGGGGAUGACGUCAAGUCCUCAUGGCCCUUACGCGUAGGGCUACACACGUGCUACGAUGGCAGUGACAAUGGGUUAAUCCCCAAAAGCUGUCUCAGUUCGGAUUGUCGGCUGCAACUCGCCGGCAUGAAGUUGGAAUCGCUAGUAAUCGUGGAUCAGCAUGCCACGGUGAAUACGUUCCCGGGCCUUGUACACACCGCCCGUCACACCAUGGGAGUUGGAUCUACCCGAAGAUUGUGAGCUAACUUCGGAGGCAGCAAGCCACGGUAGGUUCAGCGACUGGGGUGAAGUCGUAACAAGGUA
This 1409-nucleotide ribosomal RNA is filed under the name metagenome. RNAcentral describes it as "bacterial SSU rRNA". It matches the Rfam family "Bacterial small subunit ribosomal RNA". The record is from RNAcentral.